GGCUGAAAUUCGCCUUCAUGAAGCUGGAAUUGCUAGUAAUGGCAGGUCAGCAUACUGCCGUGAAUACGUUCCCGGGCCCUUGUACACACCGCCCGUCACACCAUGAGAGUUGGAAAUACCCGAAGCCUGUGAGCUAACUUAAAGAGGCAGCAGUCGAAGGUAGAGCCAAUGAUUGGGGUGAAGUCGUAACAAGGUAUC
This 198-nucleotide ribosomal RNA is filed under the name uncultured bacterium. Its description in RNAcentral is "partial 16S ribosomal RNA". It matches the Rfam family "Bacterial small subunit ribosomal RNA", at positions 1303 to 1500 of the family's 1533-position model. The record is from RNAcentral.